RNAcentral lists this small RNA (74 nucleotides) under Salmonella enterica subsp. enterica serovar Muenchen. Its description in RNAcentral is "partial RtT sRNA". It matches the Rfam family "RtT RNA", at positions 1 to 74 of the family's 130-position model. From Rfam's summary of the family: This family represents a bacterial cis-regulatory element known as RtT RNA. The exact function of RtT is unknown although it is thought that it may be involved in changing the cellular response in relation to amino acid starvation. RNAcentral also lists the same sequence under 6 other names. The record is from RNAcentral. Lineage: Bacteria; Pseudomonadati; Pseudomonadota; Gammaproteobacteria; Enterobacterales; Enterobacteriaceae.
AUAUCUCUCUGUACGGGAAGGAUGAGAAGCUUCGACUAAGGUUCGAUUCGAGCGCAGCGAGAAAGCGUUGCCGC